This 806-nucleotide ribosomal RNA is filed under the name Bacillus sp. (in: firmicutes). Its description in RNAcentral is "bacterial SSU rRNA". It matches the Rfam family "Bacterial small subunit ribosomal RNA", at positions 82 to 873 of the family's 1533-position model. The record is from RNAcentral. Lineage: Bacteria; Bacillati; Bacillota; Bacilli; Caryophanales; Bacillaceae.
CUCCCGGAUGUUAGCGGCGGACGGGUGAGUAACACGUGGGUAACCUGCCUGUAAGACUGGGAUAACUCCGGGAAACCGGAGCUAAUACCGGAUAGUUCCUUGAACCGCAUGGUUCAAGGAUGAAAGACGGUUUCGGCUGUCACUUACAGAUGGACCCGCGGCGCAUUAGCUAGUUGGUGAGGUAACGGCUCACCAAGGCGACGAUGCGUAGCCGACCUGAGAGGGUGAUCGGCCACACUGGGACUGAGACACGGCCCAGACUCCUACGGGAGGCAGCAGUAGGGAAUCUUCCGCAAUGGACGAAAGUCUGACGGAGCAACGCCGCGUGAGUGAUGAAGGUUUUCGGAUCGUAAAGCUCUGUUGUUAGGGAAGAACAAGUGCAAGAGUAACUGCUUGCACCUUGACGGUACCUAACCAGAAAGCCACGGCUAACUACGUGCCAGCAGCCGCGGUAAUACGUAGGUGGCAAGCGUUGUCCGGAAUUAUUGGGCGUAAAGGGCUCGCAGGCGGUUUCUUAAGUCUGAUGUGAAAGCCCCCGGCUCAACCGGGGAGGGUCAUUGGAAACUGGGAAACUUGAGUGCAGAAGAGGAGAGUGGAAUUCCACGUGUAGCGGUGAAAUGCGUAGAGAUGUGGAGGAACACCAGUGGCGAAGGCGACUCUCUGGUCUGUAACUGACGCUGAGGAGCGAAAGCGUGGGGAGCGAACAGGAUUAGAUACCCUGGUAGUCCACGCCGUAAACGAUGAGUGCUAAGUGUUAGGGGGUUUCCGCCCCUUACUGCUGCAGCUAACGCAUUAAGCACUCCGCC